GACGGAGGAUGCAAGCGUUAUCCGGAAUGAUUGGGCGUAAAGCGUCCGCAGGUGGCAGUUCAAGUCUGCUGUCAAAGACCGGGGCUUAACUUCGGAAAGGCAGUGGAAACUGAACAGCUAGAGUAUGGUAGGGGCAGAGGGAAUUCCUGGUGUAGCGGUGAAAUGCGUAGAGAUCAGGAGGAACAUCAGUGGCGAAAGCGCCUUGCUGGGCCAUUACUGACGCUGAGGAACGAAAGCUAGGGUAGCGAAAGGG
RNAcentral lists this ribosomal RNA (253 nucleotides) under uncultured bacterium. RNAcentral's name for it is "partial 16S ribosomal RNA". It matches the Rfam family "Bacterial small subunit ribosomal RNA", at positions 524 to 776 of the family's 1533-position model. The record is from RNAcentral.